ACAGGUCUGAGGCCACAGCAGAAGCAUUCAUGGUGCGACCAUGUCAGGUUCCAACGAAACUGCAAAUUCUGCU
This 73-nucleotide long non-coding RNA is filed under the name Crocodylus porosus (Australian saltwater crocodile). RNAcentral describes it as "Mammalian CPEB3 ribozyme (ENSCPRG00005014156.1)". It matches the Rfam family "Mammalian CPEB3 ribozyme". Rfam says of the family: The mammalian CPEB3 ribozyme is a self cleaving RNA located in the second intron of the CPEB3 gene which belongs to a family of genes regulating messenger RNA polyadenylation. This ribozyme is highly conserved and found only in mammals. The record is from Rfam by way of RNAcentral. Lineage: Eukaryota; Metazoa; Chordata; Crocodylia; Crocodylidae.